CGUCGUCGUCGUCGUCGCUGCCGAACCUGCUCUUCCUGCA
RNAcentral lists this non-coding RNA (40 nucleotides) under uncultured Chlorophyceae. The record is from RNAcentral. Lineage: Eukaryota; Viridiplantae; Chlorophyta; Chlorophyceae.